This 83-nucleotide transfer RNA is filed under the name Candidatus Rehaiarchaeum fermentans. RNAcentral describes it as "tRNA-Ser". It matches the Rfam family "tRNA". From Rfam's summary of the family: Transfer RNA (tRNA) molecules are approximately 80 nucleotides in length. Their secondary structure includes four short double-helical elements and three loops (D, anti-codon, and T loops). Further hydrogen bonds mediate the characteristic L-shaped molecular structure. tRNAs have two regions of fundamental functional importance: the anti-codon, which is responsible for specific mRNA codon recognition, and the 3' end, to which the tRNAs corresponding amino acid is attached (by aminoacyl-tRNA synthetases). tRNAs cope with the degeneracy of the genetic code in two manners: having more than one tRNA (with a specific anti-codon) for a particular amino acid; and 'wobble' base-pairing, i.e. permitting non-standard base-pairing at the 3rd anti-codon position. The record is from RNAcentral. Lineage: Archaea; Nanobdellati; Candidatus Parvarchaeota.
GCUGGGUUGGCCGAGCGGUUAAGGCGCUGGCCCUGAGAGCCAGUGGGCUCUUGCCCUCGCAGGUUCGAAUCCUGCACCCAGCG